RNAcentral lists this ribosomal RNA (497 nucleotides) under uncultured bacterium. RNAcentral describes it as "partial 16S ribosomal RNA". It matches the Rfam family "Bacterial small subunit ribosomal RNA", at positions 28 to 507 of the family's 1533-position model. The record is from RNAcentral.
GAUGAACGCUGGCGGCGUGCCUAAUACAUGCAAGUCGAGCGAACAGACGAGGAGCUUGCUCCUCUGACGUUAGCGGCGGACGGGUGAGUAACACGUGGAUAACCUACCUAUAAGACUGGGAUAACUUCGGGAAACCGGAGCUAAUACCGGAUAAUAUAUUGAACCGCAUGGUUCAAUAGUGAAAGACGGUUUUGCUGUCACUUAUAGAUGGAUCCGCGCCGCAUUAGCUAGUUGGUAAGGUAACGGCUUACCAAGGCAACGAUGCGUAGCCGACCUGAGAGGGUGAUCGGCCACACUGGAAGUGAGACACGGUCCAGACUCCUACGGGAGGCAGCAGUAGGGAAGCUUCCGCAAUGGGCGAAAGCUUGACGGAGCAACGCCGCGUGAGUGAUGAAGGUCUUCGGAUCGUAAAACUCUGUUAUUAGGGAAGAACAAAUGUGUAAGUAACUAUGCACGUCGUGACGGUACCUAAUCAGAAAGCCACGGCUAACUACGUG